UACGUAGGGUGCGAGCGUUGUCCGGAAUUAUUGGGCGUAAAGGGCUCGUAGGCGGUUUGUCGCGUCGGGAGUGAAAACACUGGGCUUAACUCAGUGCUUGCUUCCGAUACGGGCAGACUAGAGGUAUUCAGGGGAGAACGGAAUUCCUGGUGUAGCGGUGAAAUGCGCAGAUAUCUGGAGGAACACCGGUGGCGAAGGCGGCAUCCUGGACCAACACUGACACUGAGGAGCGAAAGCGUGGGGAGCAAACAGG
This 253-nucleotide ribosomal RNA is filed under the name uncultured bacterium. RNAcentral describes it as "partial 16S ribosomal RNA". It matches the Rfam family "Bacterial small subunit ribosomal RNA", at positions 524 to 776 of the family's 1533-position model. The record is from RNAcentral.